GCCCACGUAGCUCAAUGGUAGAGCGCAUCACUAGUACUAAAAGUUUGUAAUGAUGAGGUUGACGGUUCGAUUCCGUUCGUGGGCA
This 85-nucleotide transfer RNA is filed under the name Erysiphe necator (grape powdery mildew). It matches the Rfam family "tRNA". Rfam says of the family: Transfer RNA (tRNA) molecules are approximately 80 nucleotides in length. Their secondary structure includes four short double-helical elements and three loops (D, anti-codon, and T loops). Further hydrogen bonds mediate the characteristic L-shaped molecular structure. tRNAs have two regions of fundamental functional importance: the anti-codon, which is responsible for specific mRNA codon recognition, and the 3' end, to which the tRNAs corresponding amino acid is attached (by aminoacyl-tRNA synthetases). tRNAs cope with the degeneracy of the genetic code in two manners: having more than one tRNA (with a specific anti-codon) for a particular amino acid; and 'wobble' base-pairing, i.e. permitting non-standard base-pairing at the 3rd anti-codon position. Lineage: Eukaryota; Fungi; Ascomycota; Leotiomycetes; Helotiales; Erysiphaceae. The record is from Rfam by way of RNAcentral.